AGAUUCUCAAAGAAAUUGACGGGGGGGCGCACAAGCGGUGGAGCAUGUGGUUUAAUUCGAUGCAACGCGAAGAACCUUACCUGGCCUUGACAUAGUAGAGACUUUCCAGAGAUGGAAAGGUGCCUUCGGGAAUCUACAUACAGGUGCUGCAUGGCUGUCGUCAGCUCGUGUCGUGAGAUGUUGGGUUAAGUCCCGCAACGAGCGCAACCCUUUUCCUUACUUGCCAGCAUUUCGGAUGGGAACUUUAAGGAUACUGCCAGUGACAAACUGGAGGAAGGCGGGGACGACGUCAAGUCAUCAUGGCCCUUACGGCCAGGGCUACACACGUGCUACAAUGGUCGGUACAAAGGGUUGCUACCUCGCGAGAGGAUGCUAAUCUCAAAAAGCCGAUCGUAGUCCGGAUCGCAGUCUGCAACUCGACUGCGUGAAGUCGGAAUCGCUAGUAAUCGCGGAUCAGAAUGCCGCGGCGAAUACGUUCCCGCCCCUUUGUACACACCGCCCGAAUCUGAACCCCCUAAU
This 519-nucleotide ribosomal RNA is filed under the name uncultured Acinetobacter sp. RNAcentral's name for it is "bacterial SSU rRNA". It matches the Rfam family "Bacterial small subunit ribosomal RNA", at positions 895 to 1411 of the family's 1533-position model. Lineage: Bacteria; Pseudomonadati; Pseudomonadota; Gammaproteobacteria; Moraxellales; Moraxellaceae. The record is from RNAcentral.